Non-coding RNA from Cinara cedri, 1305 nucleotides. The record is from the annotation of a GenBank genome assembly. NCBI's taxonomy places the organism in Eukaryota, Metazoa, Arthropoda, Insecta, Hemiptera, Aphididae.
GAAUGUAUUUUAUGAUCAUACAUACUUUUGCUAUUUAAUUUAACAAUAAUAGAUGUAUAUUAAACACUUAUAAACGCAUACUUUAUUUUGAUUCUUUUUUUUACCAUGGACACAGAUUUUGUUUGAAUUUAUAUAGAAUAUUAGUUUGCCUAGAAAAAUAUCUUUUAGAUUUCGACUUAUAAUAAUACAUUAACUAAUAUAAUAAUAAUACUAUACAAUUUCACAAUAUUUGGUACAGAUCAAAACACUUUUUAAUAAAUAGUUUGUUGACAUUAGAAUUGAAAGUCUUAUUGUUUUAAUAUAAAAAAAUUUCUGACUUCAACUUUACAAAUGAAUAAUUUGUUUGUUGUCUAAGGAAUGUAUUUUAUGAUCAUACAUACUUUUGCUAUUUAAUUUAACAAUAAUAGAUGUAUAUUAAAUACUUAUAAACGCACACUUUAUUUUGAUUCUUUUUACAUAGCAGUUUGCAUUAAAUAUACUUAUGACAUCACCUUUUAACAGUACAUUAUUUGGUUUAUUAUGAUAGGAAUGUGUAUUAUGAUCAUACACGCGUUUAGAUAUAAAAUAUUACAAUUCCAAAUGAAAUAAUAAUAAAUGUAUAAUUUGAUUAAAUGUUGAAUAGCAUACUAGUUUGCUUAUACUAAUAAUCUUUCUGACUUCCACUUUUAAUUAUAAAUUAUAUUAAUCUUUGAGAAAAUCAUGUUUAUUUUAAUCAAACAUACAUUUUGAUAUUGUCUUUCACAAUAUUUGAUACAAAUGAAAUAUGUAUAAAUGCAUUCAUUGCUUUUAUUUCUGUAACAUAACUGUUUUUUUAUAUUCAAAAUCACUCGGACUGAGAUUAUAACUGUUAAAUUAUAGAAGUUUUUGUGUUAGAAUUGUGUGUCAUAAUCAGAACUACUAUAUGCUAUAUAAUUUCACAAUAUUUUAUUUCAAAUUUAAAUAAUUGUAAAUUCAUAAUUUGUUUAAUUUGAAAUUGCAUAGCAUUUUGUAUACAUUCAAAAUCCUAAUGAUUUUAUCUUUUUUAAAAAUUUUCAAUUUAUUUAUUAUAUGAAUAGGUUUUAUUAUCAUACACACGUUUUUCUACAGAAAUUCACAUUAUUUAUUACUUAUUGUGUAUACCUAUAGACACAUGUUUUGUUUGAAUUAAAAUUGCAUAGCAGUUUGUAUUUAUUAAAAAAUCUUCUGACUUUCAUUUUUAAUAUUAAAUUAUCUAAAGUUUUGUGAUAAGAAUUAGUUUUUAUCAUUAUACACGUGGUUGAAUACAAUUUACACAAUAUAAGAUAAUUUAAAUAUCCUUAGACACAG